This 373-nucleotide ribosomal RNA is filed under the name uncultured bacterium. RNAcentral's name for it is "bacterial SSU rRNA". It matches the Rfam family "Bacterial small subunit ribosomal RNA", at positions 525 to 896 of the family's 1533-position model. The record is from RNAcentral.
ACAUAGGGUGCAAGCGUUGUCCGGAAUUAUUGGGCGUAAAGAGCUCGUAGGUGGUUCGUUACGUCGGAUGUGAAAAUCUGGGGCUCAACCCCAGACCUGCAUCCGAUACGGUCGAGCUAGAGUUUGGUAGGGGAGACUGGAAUUCCUGGUGUAGCGGUGGAAUGCGCAGAUAUCAGGAGGAACACCAAUGGCGAAGGCAGGUCUCUGGGCCAAUACUGACACUGAGGAGCGAAAGCGUGGGGAGCGAACAGGAUUAGAUACCCUGGUAGUCCACGCCGUAAACGGUGGGCGCUAGUUGUGGGAACCUUCCACGGUUUCUGCGACGCAGCUAACGCAUUAAGCGCCCCGCCUGGGGAGUACGAUCGCAAGAUUA